This 496-nucleotide ribosomal RNA is filed under the name uncultured bacterium. RNAcentral describes it as "partial 16S ribosomal RNA". It matches the Rfam family "Bacterial small subunit ribosomal RNA", at positions 29 to 507 of the family's 1533-position model. The record is from RNAcentral.
AUGAACGCUGGCGGCGUGCCUAAUACAUGCAAGUCGAGCGAACAGACGAGGAGCUUGCUCCUCUGACGUUAGCGGCGGACGGGUGAGUAACACGUGGAUAACCUACUUAUAAGACUGGGAUAACUUCGGGAAACCGGAGCUAAUACCGGAUAAUAUAUUGAACCGCAUGGUUCAAUAGUGAAAGACGGUUUUGCUGUCACUUAUAGAUGGAUCCGCGCCGCAUUAGCUAGUUGGUAAGGUAACGGCUUACCAAGGCAACGAUGCGUAGCCGACCUGAGAGGGUGAUCGGCCACACUGGAACUGAGACACGGUCCAGACUCCUACGGGAGGCAGCAGUAGGGAAUCUUCCGCAAUGGGCGAAAGCCUGACGGAGCAACGCCGCGUGAGUGAUGAAGGUCUUCGGAUCGUAAAACUCUGUUAUUAGGGAAGAACAAAUGUGUAAGUAACUAUGCACGUCUUGACGGUACCUAAUCAGAAAGCCACGGCUAACUACGUG